UUUUUUACACAUAAUUAGCAUUUAAAUCUCUUUCCUACAGUCUCAUGCCCUCCCUCCAUCGCUCUCUCUCGCCUCUCUUACUCCAGCAGACUCUACAUGUCUCAGUCGCUAAGGCAACCGAUGCUUUUUUUUUUCUUCUCACUUGCUCUCUGUAUCUCCCCGUUUCUCUCGGUCUCCCUCGCUCAUUCCCUCUCUCCACUGCCAGAGGUAGGCAUGAUAACUGAUAUGUGUCGGAGUGUGUCUGUGUUUGUGUCCGUCUCCCGGUGUGCUCGUGUGUCUCUGAAGUGACAUUUCUGUGGCAUUUAGGAAGCAGUUGUGGAACGGGAAGUUGCCUCUCUGCUCAAAGUGCCAUAUAGAGUAUUGGCUCCUUGCAUGAUGCUUCUAAUGAUGAUGAAUGUUCUGUGCUCAGGUGUGUGUGCACUGUAAACGUGUGUGAGAGAGCAGCACAGACUACGAGUGUGUACUUCUGGGUGUUUUUGACUGCAGAUGUGGAUUCUGUAGAAACAUGUGGCGCAUAAUUGAGCGUUAAAUUUAAAAGCCCAGAGGAGUCUGAGAAUGUUUUUUUUUUUUUUUUUUUUUUUUAUAUAAAAGAUGACAGUUGGAUUUCUGCCAAUACUCCUGCUGGUGUCUAUGUUUACAUGUUCUUUUUUAUCUGGCAACAUAAAAGAAGAAGAAAAAAAAAAAGCUGGACCCUCCCCCUCCCUCUCCCUCUCUCCCCCUCCCUCUCUCUCCCUCCCUUGCCCCUCUGUCCUAUCUUACAGAGAGAGAUGAUCGGAGGAGCGGAGUCUCAGUGAACAGAGCGAAGCGAUGGAGAGAUGCUCCAUCUCUCCUGUCGCACGACUGACUGCCCUCGUCUCCCUCCUGCUGGUUGCUCUGGUGACACAGCCCUCCACCUGUAACCGUGACGACAGCGAGGGCGAGGAGCAGGUGGACGCCCUGUCGGUCCAGCUGUCCGUCACGGCCCAGGUCACACCCACCCCUCUGUGGGCGGUGGUCUGGGGUCCCACGCAGCCUCUGGAGGACGAGACCUACCACUUCCUCUCCAGCCAGGAAACGGAUCCCCUGCAUCGGCACGGGAACCAUCAGGAGGCGAGCACCGCCGCGUCAGACUGGCCUGCGAGCAUGCAGCCCCGAGAGGAGGCUCCGCUGGAGUCGAAGGACCGGGGGGGAGUGGAGGAUGCAGGGACGGAGGCGGAGGAGACGGAGCCUGAGGAAGUGGACCCUCAGUUCUACGUCACCGUGACCAUCUCCUCGCUGCUCAUCCUGACGGCAGUCGUGAUUACAGCCAAACUCUGUUACGACCGCAGCUGUUCCCAGCAUCCACCCCCGCUUUCCCGUGGCGUGGCCCCCCCACUCUCUCUCGCGCUCCCUCGCUCCCUCGCUACUGAGGACAGCCGGCAGACGCUGCACAACACCUCCUCCUCCUUCACCGACAGGGAGAGGAUCCCAGUUGUGAACCUCUGAGUGACUGUUUUUCCAUAUGGUAAACAUAUCUACGGGGCCUGAGGAGGAGCAUCAACACGACCGGAGGGUGCGCCCGCAGCGCCGUUUUAUUUUCCUGAAACUGUGAAAUAAAUCCAGGGGUCCCAGAUAUCCAGCCAUCACAGAAACUCCUCGACUUCCCCGAGGUGUAACAAACCCAAACAUCUCCCUGCUGCUCCCUCCUUCCUCUUCCUUCCUCUGUGCUCGGUGUAAUUGUCUUUCAUGUGGCUCUGCGUCCCUGUUACCUGCUCCCUGUUUUUCAUCCCUCGUUUGGCCUCGAGGUCCGACAAGCCAACCAAGCGCUCUGCGCCUCGGGCAGCCAUGACUAAUUCACAAGCAAGCAGUUUAACAGACGUGCAACAUCCCAUUACCACUGGAAGACCCCUACCUGUGCUACUACAGCUGACUCAUCUGAUCAGUAUGUAUCCCCAUCCUGCAGACUGUUCUUUCAUUAAACUCACUUCGCUUGUUUCUGGUUCACAAAUGGUUAAAAAGCCAUUCUCAGCAUCUCCAAACACUGAACGGGGUAUUUCACAAAGCUGUUUGGCACGGCUGUAGCCAACAGGCAAUGUGUUUAACAUGUCACGCUCCAAAAACUGCUGUUUAUUCCCCGCUUUGGGCGCCUGAAAUGCAAAUAGUGUGGCUUUUUUUUCCUUCUUCUUCUUCUUCUUCUCCUCUGUAGUGAAGAGGAGUCGCUUUUGUUUGAGUUUUUUCCUCAUGAUUUGUUUUCUUAAUUAUCUGGCUGACGUUCACCUCUUUGCGAGCUCCACUCUGUUCCUGCUGGACUGUGUUAGAGGUGCGCUAAGCAUCGAGCACUUCCAGUGGUGGAGAUAAAAUAUUCAGAGCGGAUAGAAGAGGCAUAGCUGUUGAAAAUCAAUGAUUCCCAAAGGUCUUGGAUGGUGCGCAACAAAGACAGGUUUAUGUGGAAGUGUGUGAACCGUGCGUGUGAUCAAAGGACGGAUGUUACCGCGACAAGGAUUUUAUUUCCCCACCUCACAGCCAAGUAUAUCAAUCUGGAAAACAAAACCACCAUAAUCCCCCCCCCCCCCCCCUUCAUCAUGUCUCGAGUCUUCGGCGCACCAAAGCAUCAAGGAGCUUCAUUUCUGUCUUCUCAACCAAUCUGCAUGUAUACAGUAAGAAAACCUGUGAGAGUAGCUUCAAAUCUAUUAUUUAUAAAUGUCUAUUUUACCUAUCGGCGAGUGAUGUCUUAUAGAAACUUUCAAAGCCAGAUGUCAGUUUGUGUUUGGCAACUUUUCUAAGCAGCUUUGAAACAUGAAACCCCUCUUACACAUCUCCUCCUCAGACACAUUAGUGCUGGUGGAAUCAUGCGUGGCUCGUGCAAUCCUCCAGAUAUCCAGUCUUGUGAUUUUUGAGUAGCAUUCCUGUAGAAAUGUGGUCUUUCUGUACCAUGGAAGUUCAAUAAAGACUCAACACUGGCGUUUUAGCUCUGCCGUCUAUCUGCUUCUUUCUGUGCAUGCUCAAUGAAUUCCCCUGGGAGCUGCAAUGCUUUAUGGGAAGGACACAAAGCUUACACUGUGCAUUUUAAUAGCUAACUCGUAAUCUUUUCCUCCCUGAAGUGAACAUUUAGUCCACUGGCAUUGAUUUUCGAAACCAUAGGCUUGGCAUUAAAAAGUCCUGCAAUGUGCCAAUCAUGUUUCUACCAGUGAGGAGCUGAAAAGGAGCCGAAGAAUAAGGCGGCGGCUGCUUGUGUCGGAAGCUUUCUCCUUAUCUCCUCACCUCAUAUGGAUUCCUCUUGCUUCACAAAGAUUAACAGGAUGCUAAGCAAGUAUUUCCUCUGUGUACAGUUUUUCAAACAAAUGUCAAUAAAAUCAAGGCGGGCGCCAGAGGACAAGUGCCACUCGUUUGUAUUGAGAUUCUCCACCACUCUGCUGCGGUUUCCAU
This 3384-nucleotide long non-coding RNA is filed under the name Cottoperca gobio. RNAcentral's name for it is "lncRNA (ENSCGOG00000003600.1)". The record is from RNAcentral. Lineage: Eukaryota; Metazoa; Chordata; Actinopteri; Perciformes; Bovichtidae.